Molecule: ribosomal RNA, 484 nt
Filed under: uncultured bacterium
Lineage: Bacteria
Description: partial 16S ribosomal RNA
Rfam family: Bacterial small subunit ribosomal RNA
Source: RNAcentral
AUUGAACGCUGGCGGCAGGCCUAACACAUGCAAGUCGAGCGGAUGAAGGGAGCUUUCUCCUGGCUUCAGCUGCGGACGGGUGAGUAAUUCCUAGGAAUCUGCCUGGUCUUUGGGGCUAACGUCCGGAAACGGGCGCUAAUACCGCAUCCGUCCUGAGGUUGAACGUGGUGGAUCUUCGGACCUCACGCUAUCAGCUGAGCCUAGGUCGGAUUAGCUAGUUGGUUGGGUAAAGGCCUACCAAGGCGACGAUCCGUAACUGGUCUGAGAGGAUGAUCAGUCACACUGGAACUGAGACACGGUCCAGACUCCUACGGGAGGCAGCAGUGGGGAAUAUUGGACAAUGGGCGAAAGCCUGAUCCAGCCAUGCAGCGUGUGUGAAGAAGGUCUUCGGAUUGUAAAGCACUUUAAGUUGGGAGGAAGGGCAGUAAGUUAAUACCUUGCUGUUUUGACGUUACCAACAGAAUAAGCACCGGCUAACUUCGUG